GCGCCCGUAGCUCAGUUGGAUAGAGCGUGCGACUCCGACUCGCAAGGCCACCGGUUCGACUCCGGUCGGGCGUGCCA
This 77-nucleotide transfer RNA is filed under the name Clostridia bacterium. Its description in RNAcentral is "tRNA-Arg". It matches the Rfam family "tRNA". From Rfam's summary of the family: Transfer RNA (tRNA) molecules are approximately 80 nucleotides in length. The record is from RNAcentral. Lineage: Bacteria; Bacillati; Bacillota; Clostridia.